CUAAUAAUUCCUAAGAAAUCAAAAUUUCUGAUAGUUUCUCUUUUUUAAUUUUUUUUUCAUCAAGUUCAUUGUAUUACCUUUAUUUGAUGUAGGUUUAAUGAGGCGAAGCUGAGAAGUUAUUAAUUUUACUAUGAUAUAUAUAUUUUAUUGUGUCUGUUACCACUUCGUUAGCUCUCACUGGACCAAUAUCUUUUAACAAUACGUCAUAAGAUUACAAAUCGUAUCUAGUCAAAGACAUUACUCUCAAAAAUUGAGAAAAUUUCCCUCGUUCUCCGUAAAUGGGGGAAAUCUAAAAAAAAGUACAAUUUUAAAAAUCGGUAACUUUAUGAGAUAUUUGUGUUCUUUAAACCUAUAUUAAAUUACAGAACUUCAGGUGUACUUUAUGAUUAAAAAAUGUCUCGACUAUAUAUUUUUUCUAUGAGUUAUUUGACUUUAAAAUGCAGUAUUUCAAAAAAAAAAUUUAAUAGAUUCACAUUGAAACAUUUUUUAUGAUAGUGAUGUUAAUUACUCUCAGAUCCAACAUCCCGGCAGAAUCUCGUGAAGUAUAAAAAAAAUCAAAUAGGCAAUAAAACAAGGAAGAAUCUGAAAUGCCAAAGAAAAGGUCUGUUAAUAGAUUUGCUUGGAAAAAUCUUGAGAAAAACAACAAAGGUUUCAGACUUACACUGUCUCCUAAACUGCUAUGGGUUCAAGAUCAAUCUGCAUACUAUUCAAGUCAGUUGUAUAAAUAUAAUUCGACGAUAAAUAAUUCGAAAAAAUGGAAGAGAUUGUGAAAAUACAACUUCUUAAAAAAAUACUUCCAGAUAACAUAGUUAUAUUAUUUCAAAAAAAAAUAAUAAUUUAAUGUUUUUAUAAGAUUUGUUUUAUUUUU
Daktulosphaira vitifoliae (grape phylloxera) is the source of this 868-nucleotide long non-coding RNA. RefSeq lists it as uncharacterized. The transcript has 3 exons. NCBI's taxonomy places the organism in Eukaryota, Metazoa, Arthropoda, Insecta, Hemiptera, Phylloxeridae. The record is from RefSeq and is a predicted model, not a curated record.